UGCAAGUCGAACGAGAAAGCUCCCUUCGGGGAGCAAGUACAGUGGCGAACGGGUGAGUAACGGGUGGAAAACCUGCCCUUCAAUGGGGGAUAACAGUUCUAACGAGCUGCUAAUACCGCAUACGACCUUCGGAUCGCAUGUUCCGAAGGUGAAAGGUGGCCUCUCUUUGAAGCUGCCGUUGAAGGAUGGUUCCGCCUCCCAUUAGCUUGUUGGUGGGGUAAUGGCCUACCAAGGCGACGAUGGGUAGCCGGCCUGAGAGGGUGUCCGGCCACACUGGGACUGAGAUACGGCCCAGACUCCUACGGGAGGCAGCAGUCGAGAAGCUUCGGCAAUGGGCGAAAGCCUGACCGAGCGAUGCCGCGUGAGUGAAGAAGGCCCUAUGGGUUGUAAAGCUCUGUCAGAUUGGGAAGAAAAUCCUACGGUUAAUACCCGUGGGACUUGACGGUACCAUCAGAGGAAGCACCGGCUAACUCCGUGCCAGCAGCCGCGGUAAUACGGAGGGUGCAAGCGUUGUUCGGAUUCACUGGGUAUAAAGGGUGCGCAGGCGGCCCGAUAAGUCAGGGGUGAAAUAUGACGGCUCAACCGUCAAACUGCCCCUGAAACUGUCAGGCUUGAGUCCGGGAGAGGAAGGUGGAAUUCCAGGUGUAGCGGUGAAAUGCGUAAAUAUCUGGAGGAACACCGGUGGCGAAGGCGGCCUUCUGGCCCGGAACUGACGCUCAGGCGCGAA
This 727-nucleotide ribosomal RNA is filed under the name uncultured Pseudomonadota bacterium. Its description in RNAcentral is "bacterial SSU rRNA". It matches the Rfam family "Bacterial small subunit ribosomal RNA", at positions 56 to 757 of the family's 1533-position model. Lineage: Bacteria; Pseudomonadati; Pseudomonadota. The record is from RNAcentral.